This 578-nucleotide ribosomal RNA is filed under the name uncultured Actinomycetes bacterium. RNAcentral describes it as "bacterial SSU rRNA". It matches the Rfam family "Bacterial small subunit ribosomal RNA", at positions 103 to 695 of the family's 1533-position model. The record is from RNAcentral. Lineage: Bacteria; Bacillati; Actinomycetota; Actinomycetes.
CGGCUGAGUAACACGUGGGCAACCUGCCCCUCUCAUUGGGAUAGCCACGGGAAACCGUGGAUAAUACCGAAUACUUCGAGACUUCCGCAUGGAAGACUCGAGAAAGCUCCGGCGGAGAGGGAUGGGCCCGCGGCCUGUUAGCUUGUUGGUGGGGUAACGGCCUACCAAGGCAAUGAUGGGUAGCUGGGUUGAGAGACCGACCAGCCAGAUUGGGACUGAGACACGGCCCAGACUCCUACGGGAGGCAGCAGUGGGGAAUCUUGCACAAUGGGCGAAAGCCUGAUGCAGCGACGCCGCGUGCGGGAUGAAGGCCUUCGGGUUGUAAACCGCUUUCAGCAGGGACGAGGCGAAAGUGACGGUACCUGCAGAAGAAGCCCCGGCUAACUACGUGCCAGCAGCCGCGGUAAUACGUAGGGGGCAAGCGUUAUCCGGAUUCAUUGGGCGUAAAGCGCUCGUAGGCGGUCUGUUAGGUCGGGAGUUAAAUCCGGGGGCUCAACCCCCGUUCGCUCCCGAUACCGGCAGACUUGAGUUUGGUAGGGGAAGGUGGAAUUCCUAGUGUAGCGGUGGAAUGCGCAGAU